GAUGAAGAACGUAGCGAAAUGCGAUAAGUAAUGUGAAUUGCAGAAUUCAGUGAAUCAUCGAAUCUUUGAACGCGUCUUGCGCUCCUUGGUAUUCUGAGGAGCAUGCCUGUUUGAGUGUCAUUAAAUUCUCAACCGCACUGACUUUGAAUUGGUGUGGCUUGGAUUUGGGGGGAAAAUUGUUGUGGGCUUUUUUGUAUAGUCUGCUCCCCUGAAAUUGAUUAGCGGUACCUUUGUGGAACUGUCUACAGGUGUGAUAAUUAUCUACAUCCUAGACAUCUGCUGGAAUGCUGCUUUCUAAACCUUACUUGUAUUGACAAUCUUGACCUCAAAUCAGGUAGGACUACCCGCUGAACUUAAGCAUAUCAAUAAGCGGAGGA
Molecule: unclassified non-coding RNA, 377 nt
Filed under: soil metagenome
Description: partial contains 5.8S ribosomal RNA, internal transcribed spacer 2, and large subunit ribosomal RNA
Rfam family: 5.8S ribosomal RNA (bases 1-120)
Source: RNAcentral